Molecule: long non-coding RNA, 230 nt
Organism: Scaptodrosophila lebanonensis
Lineage: Eukaryota; Metazoa; Arthropoda; Insecta; Diptera; Drosophilidae
Exons: 2
Source: RefSeq, a predicted model, not a curated record
AAACGGUCGGCUGUUGAAGUUUACGGUUCGGUAACGGGCGGUAUAUGCGGGUAUUUUAAAAUCUAAGCAAAAUCUACAAAGCUUAAGUGCAAAUAAGAUCUAAAAAAAAUUGAAAAUUCAAUGCAACCAAUUUGCAAAAUUUCUGAAUGUGUUUACAAUUGCUAGAAACAUAGUAAUUAGUUGAAAAAGCUUCACAAAGAAAUAAAUUAAUAAUAACAACAACAAAAAAA